CAUCUCGGCUUUGUGUUCGAGCGAUAGUUCCUUGAACUCGAAGGUCUUGCCCGG
Molecule: small RNA, 54 nt
Filed under: Sinorhizobium meliloti 2011
Lineage: Bacteria; Pseudomonadati; Pseudomonadota; Alphaproteobacteria; Hyphomicrobiales; Rhizobiaceae
Description: putative ncRNA
Source: RNAcentral